RNAcentral lists this ribosomal RNA (305 nucleotides) under uncultured bacterium. RNAcentral describes it as "bacterial SSU rRNA". It matches the Rfam family "Bacterial small subunit ribosomal RNA", at positions 338 to 635 of the family's 1533-position model. The record is from RNAcentral.
CCUACGGGGGGCAGCAGUGGGGAAUAUUGCGCAAUGGGCGAAAGCCUGACGCAGCGACGCCGCGUGAGGGAUGAAGGUUCUCGGAUCGUAAACCUCUGUCAGAAGGGAAGAAAUUAUAUCAUGCUAAUCAGUGGUGUAUUGACGGUACCUUCAAAGGAAGCACCGGCUAACUCCGUGCCAGCAGCCGCGGUAAUACGGAGGGUGCGAGCGUUAAUCGGAAUUACUGGGCGUAAAGCGCACGUAGGCUGUAUGACAAGUCAAGGGUGAAAUGCCACGGCUCAACCGUGGAACUGCCUUUGAAACUG